This 578-nucleotide ribosomal RNA is filed under the name uncultured bacterium. RNAcentral describes it as "bacterial SSU rRNA". It matches the Rfam family "Bacterial small subunit ribosomal RNA", at positions 102 to 694 of the family's 1533-position model. The record is from RNAcentral.
ACGGGUGAGUAACACGUGGGUGAUCUGCCCUGCACUUCGGGAUAAGCCUGGGAAACUGGGUCUAAUACCGGAUAUGACCUCCUAUCGCAUGGUGGGUGGUGGAAAGAUUUAUCGGUGCAGGAUGGGCCCGCGGCCUAUCAGCUUGUUGGUGGGGUAAUGGCCUACCAAGGCGACGACGGGCAGCCGACCUGAGAGGGUGACCGGCCACACUGGGACUGAGACACGGCCCAGACUCCCACGGGAGGCAGCAGUGGGGAAUAUUGCACAAUGGGCGAAAGCCUGAUGCAGCGACGCCGCGUGAGGGAUGACGGCCUUCGGGUUGUAAACCUCUUUCAGCAGGGACGAAGCGCAAGUGACGGUACCUGCAGAAGAAGCGCCGGCUAACUACGUGCCAGCAGCCGCGGUAAUACGUAGGGUGCAAGCGUUGUCCGGAAUUACUGGGCGUAAAGAGUUCGUAGGCGGUUUGUCGCGUCGUUUGUGAAAACCAGCAGCUCAACUGCUGGCUUGCAGGCGAUACGGGCAGACUUGAGUACUGCAGGGGAGACUGGAAUUCCUGGUGUAGCGGUGAAAUGCGCAGA